GACGAACGCUGGCGGCGUGCUUAACACAUGCAAGUCGAACGGAAAGGCCCUGCUUUUGUGGGGUGCUCGAGUGGCGAACGGGUGAGUAACACGUGAGUAACCUGCCCUUGACUUUGGGAUAACUUCAGGAAACUGGGGCUAAUACCGGAUAGGAGCUCCUGCUGCAUGGUGGGGGUUGGAAAGUUUCGGCGGUUGGGGAUGGACUCGCGGCUUAUCAGCUUGUUGGUGGGGUAGUGGCUUACCAAGGCUUUGACGGGUAGCCGGCAUGAGAGGGUGAACGGCGACAUUGGAACUGAGAUACGGCCAAGACUCCAACGGGAGGCAGCAGUGGGGAAUAUUGCACAAUGGGCGGAAGCCUGAUGCAGCAACGCCGCGUGCGGGAUGACGGCCUUCGGGUUGUAAACCGCUUUCGCCUGUGACGAAGCGUGAGUGACGGUAAUGGGUAAAGAAGCACCGGCUAACUACGUG
This 468-nucleotide ribosomal RNA is filed under the name uncultured bacterium. Its description in RNAcentral is "partial 16S ribosomal RNA". It matches the Rfam family "Bacterial small subunit ribosomal RNA", at positions 28 to 507 of the family's 1533-position model. The record is from RNAcentral.